This 73-nucleotide transfer RNA is filed under the name Pangasianodon hypophthalmus (striped catfish). RNAcentral's name for it is "tRNA-Val". The record is from RNAcentral. Lineage: Eukaryota; Metazoa; Chordata; Actinopteri; Siluriformes; Pangasiidae.
GUUUCUGUAGUGUAGUGGCUAUCACGUUCGCCUCACACGCGAAAGGUCCCUGGUUCGAAACCAGGCAGAAACA